This 214-nucleotide long non-coding RNA is filed under the name Mytilus galloprovincialis (Mediterranean mussel). Lineage: Eukaryota; Metazoa; Mollusca; Bivalvia; Mytilida; Mytilidae. The record is from RNAcentral.
UUCUCGGGCAUCUUUGCAACAAUUACUUUGUUCAAUGUUUAACAUGCAUGGCCACUUUCACUUGCACAUGUUAUUAUUGUAAAAUAAAUUUAUCAAAAUAAAUAUUUCUUGAGGUAAGCGCAGGAUUUUUUACAUUUAAAAAUAGCACAAGACUUAGUAUACAUUAUAAUUGUGAGAUUGGUCAUAUGACUACAUUCUGUACUUUAAGGAUGUA